This 500-nucleotide ribosomal RNA is filed under the name uncultured bacterium. RNAcentral's name for it is "partial 16S ribosomal RNA". It matches the Rfam family "Bacterial small subunit ribosomal RNA", at positions 30 to 523 of the family's 1533-position model. The record is from RNAcentral.
AUUGAACGCUGGCGGCAUGCUUUACACAUGCAAGUCGAACGGUAACAGGGAGCUUGCUCCGCUGACGAGUGGUGAACGGGUGAGUAAUGUAUCGGAACGUACCCAAGAGUGGGGGAUAACGUAGCGAAAGUUACGCUAAUACCGCAUACGAUCUAUGGAUGAAAGUGGGGGACCUUCGGGCCUCAUGCUCCUGGAGCGGCCGGUACCUGAUUAGCUAGUUGGUGAGGUAAAGGCUCACCAAGGCGACGAUCAGUAGCUGGUCUGAGAGGACGACCAGCCACACUGGGACUGAGACACGGCCCAGACUCCUACGGGAGGCAGCAGUGGGGAAUUUUGGACAAUGGGGGCAACCCUGAUCCAGCAAUGCCGCGUGAGUGAAGAAGGCCUUCGGGUUGUAAAGCUCUUUUGUCAGGGAAGAAACGGUUCAGGCUAAUAUCCUGGGCUAAUGACGGUACCUGAAGAAUAAGCACCGGCUAACUACGUGCCAGCCGCCGCCGUAA